This 1528-nucleotide ribosomal RNA is filed under the name Klebsiella pneumoniae. RNAcentral's name for it is "bacterial SSU rRNA". It matches the Rfam family "Bacterial small subunit ribosomal RNA". The record is from RNAcentral. Lineage: Bacteria; Pseudomonadati; Pseudomonadota; Gammaproteobacteria; Enterobacterales; Enterobacteriaceae.
AGAGUUUGAUCAUGGCUCAGAUUGAACGCUGGCGGCAGGCCUAACACAUGCAAGUCGAGCGGUAGCACAGAGAGCUUGCUCUCGGGUGACGAGCGGCGGACGGGUGAGUAAUGUCUGGGAAACUGCCUGAUGGAGGGGGAUAACUACUGGAAACGGUAGCUAAUACCGCAUAAUGUCGCAAGACCAAAGUGGGGGACCUUCGGGCCUCAUGCCAUCAGAUGUGCCCAGAUGGGAUUAGCUAGUAGGUGGGGUAACGGCUCACCUAGGCGACGAUCCCUAGCUGGUCUGAGAGGAUGACCAGCCACACUGGAACUGAGACACGGUCCAGACUCCUACGGGAGGCAGCAGUGGGGAAUAUUGCACAAUGGGCGCAAGCCUGAUGCAGCCAUGCCGCGUGUGUGAAGAAGGCCUUCGGGUUGUAAAGCACUUUCAGCGGGGAGGAAGGCGAUAAGGUUAAUAACCUUGUCGAUUGACGUUACCCGCAGAAGAAGCACCGGCUAACUCCGUGCCAGCAGCCGCGGUAAUACGGAGGGUGCAAGCGUUAAUCGGAAUUACUGGGCGUAAAGCGCACGCAGGCGGUCUGUCAAGUCGGAUGUGAAAUCCCCGGGCUUAACCUGGGAACUGCAUUCGAAACUGGCAGGCUAGAGUCUUGUAGAGGGGGGUAGAAUUCCAGGUGUAGCGGUGAAAUGCGUAGAGAUCUGGAGGAAUACCGGUGGCGAAGGCGGCCCCCUGGACAAAGACUGACGCUCAGGUGCGAAAGCGUGGGGAGCAAACAGGAUUAGAUACCCUGGUAGUCCACGCCGUAAACGAUGUCGAUUUGGAGGUUGUGCCCUUGAGGCGUGGCUUCCGGAGCUAACGCGUUAAAUCGACCGCCUGGGGAGUACGGCCGCAAGGUUAAAACUCAAAUGAAUUGACGGGGGCCCGCACAAGCGGUGGAGCAUGUGGUUUAAUUCGAUGCAACGCGAAGAACCUUACCUGGUCUUGACAUCCACAGAACUUAGCAGAGAUGCUUUGGUGCCUUCGGGAACUGUGAGACAGGUGCUGCAUGGCUGUCGUCAGCUCGUGUUGUGAAAUGUUGGGUUAAGUCCCGCAACGAGCGCAACCCUUAUCCUUUGUUGCCAGCGGUCCGGCCGGGAACUCAAAGGAGACUGCCAGUGAUAAACUGGAGGAAGGUGGGGAUGACGUCAAGUCAUCAUGGCCCUUACGACCAGGGCUACACACGUGCUACAAUGGCAUAUACAAAGAGAAGCGACCUCGCGAGAGCAAGCGGACCUCAUAAAGUAUGUCGUAGUCCGGAUUGGAGUCUGCAACUCGACUCCAUGAAGUCGGAAUCGCUAGUAAUCGUAGAUCAGAAUGCUACGGUGAAUACGUUCCCGGGCCUUGUACACACCGCCCGUCACACCAUGGGAGUGGGUUGCAAAAGAAGUAGGUAGCUUAACCUUCGGGAGGGCGCUUACCACUUUGUGAUUCAUGACUGGGGUGAAGUCGUAACAAGGUAACCGUAGGGGAACCUGCGGUUGGAUCACCU